Molecule: ribosomal RNA, 253 nt
Filed under: uncultured bacterium
Lineage: Bacteria
Description: partial 16S ribosomal RNA
Rfam family: Bacterial small subunit ribosomal RNA
Source: RNAcentral
UACAGAGGUGGCAAGCGUUGUUCGGAAUUACUGGGCUUAAAGAGUUCGUAGGCGGCGCGGCAAGUAGGGUGUGAAAGCCCUCGGCUCAACCGAGGAAUUGCGCUCUAAACUGCCGCGCUCGAGGAACCUAGAGGUGAGCAGAACUGAUGGUGGAGCGGUGAAAUGUGUUGAUAUCGGAAGGAACGCCGGUGGCGAAAGCGACACACUGGGUCUCAACUGACGCUGAGGCACGAAAGCCAGGGGAGCGAACGGG